UACGUAGGGUGCGAGCGUUGUCCGGAAUUACUGGGCGUAAAGAGCUACGUAGGCGGUUUGUCGCGUCGUCUGUGAAAUUCUGCAACUCAAUUGUAGGCGUGCAGGCGAUACGGGCAGACUUGAGUACUACAGGGGAGACUGGAAUUCCUGGUGUAGCGGUGAAAUGCGCAGAUAUCAGGAGGAACACCGGUGGCGAAGGCGGGUCUCUGGGUAGUAACUGACGCUGAGGAGCGAAAGCGUGGGGAGCAAACAGG
RNAcentral lists this ribosomal RNA (254 nucleotides) under uncultured bacterium. RNAcentral describes it as "partial 16S ribosomal RNA". It matches the Rfam family "Bacterial small subunit ribosomal RNA", at positions 524 to 776 of the family's 1533-position model. The record is from RNAcentral.